RNAcentral lists this ribosomal RNA (201 nucleotides) under Salmonella enterica subsp. enterica serovar Typhimurium. RNAcentral describes it as "partial 23S ribosomal RNA". It matches the Rfam family "Bacterial large subunit ribosomal RNA", at positions 215 to 454 of the family's 2925-position model. The record is from RNAcentral. Lineage: Bacteria; Pseudomonadati; Pseudomonadota; Gammaproteobacteria; Enterobacterales; Enterobacteriaceae.
GGAAAAGAAAUCAACCGAGAUUCCCCCAGUAGCGGCGAGCGAACGGGGAGGAGCCCAGAGCCUGAAUCAGCAUGUGUGUUAGUGGAAGCGUCUGGAAAGGUGCGCGAUACAGGGUGACAGCCCCGUACACAAAAGCGCAUGUGCUGUGAGCUCGAUGAGUAGGGCGGGACACGUGGUAUCCUGUCUGAAUAUGGGGGGACC